RNAcentral lists this long non-coding RNA (784 nucleotides) under Androctonus crassicauda. The record is from RNAcentral. Lineage: Eukaryota; Metazoa; Arthropoda; Arachnida; Scorpiones; Buthidae.
AUUUUAUCUCCUAAUAUUUAUUCUCUGAUUAUACAGUUAAUUGUUAAAGCAAUAGAAAUUUCUUUUUUAUAAAAUUAUUUUAAAAUUAUUCCCAAUUUACUUUUUUAAUACAUAGGUUUUUAACAUCUAAUUUAUAGUACAAUUUAUGAAUAUUAUUGAAAAAUUUUUGAUAUUUCUGCCAGACAAAUAUAAAAACUUAUAAAAUGGUUUCUAAUGGACUUAAUAGAAAUUGUUUUAAUUUUUUUUUUUAUGUUUUCAAUUAAAUACCAGUACAUUGUUUUGAAAAUUCUUUCCACCAGAGGGAUUCAGUUGAAAAAAUCUCCAUUAGAGGGUGUCAGCCAAGGAUGUGCUAUCAACAAUUGUCUUUCAAAUAUUCAGAUAAGCCUAAUCGUAAUCCGAAUUAAUUUUUUGCUUAAAUCAGCUUCUCCAAACUGUUUUAGUCAUGCCCAUCAUUUACCAUUAAAGAAAAAUAACAUGUGUGCUAUAUAAUAAAUAUGUAUUAUGAUGAACAAAAAAUAUGAAUCACUGAAAUUUCUUAUAUAUCUGUAGACAGUGGCAGAUUUAGUUAUGAUCUUUAUGGGCUGCAGCCCAAAGUCCUCUUCAAUCAAAGGGCCCCCUUCACAGUCAAAAAUAAAAAUAAAAACAAUUUAAAUUAAAAAUUUAAGAAAAAAUUAAUUAUACAAAUUUUUUCAUAUCUAGAUAAAGUUUAAAUUGUUGAUAGUAAACAGAGACCACGUUCGGGAAACAAAAUAAAACACACAAGGGGCGGGCUUCAAAUCCAGAC